Molecule: ribosomal RNA, 380 nt
Filed under: uncultured eukaryote
Lineage: Eukaryota
Description: partial 18S ribosomal RNA
Rfam family: Eukaryotic small subunit ribosomal RNA
Source: RNAcentral
CAAUAGCGUAUAUUUAAGUUGUUGCAGUUAAAAAGCUCGUAGUUGGAUUUCGGAUGGGAUCUGCCGGUCCGCCUUUGAGGUGUGUACUGGUAGGUCCUAUCUUGUUGUCGGGGACCAGCUCCUGGGCUUCACUGUCCGGGACUGGGAGCCGGCGAAGUUACUUUGAGUAAAUUAGAGUGUUCAAAGCAGGCCUAAGCUCUGAAUACAUUAGCAUGGAAUAACGCGAUAGGACUCUGGUCUUAUUGUGUUGGUCUUCGAGACCGGAGUAAUGAUUAAGAGGGACAGUUGGGGGCAUUCGUAUUUCAUUGUCAGAGGUGAAAUUCUUGGAUUUAUGAAAGACGAACUUCUGCGAAAGCAUUUGCCAAGGAUGUUUNCAUUAA